This 183-nucleotide ribosomal RNA is filed under the name Litoraxius boshu. Its description in RNAcentral is "partial 16S rRNA". The record is from RNAcentral. Lineage: Eukaryota; Metazoa; Arthropoda; Malacostraca; Decapoda; Axiidae.
ACUUUACAUAAAUAUGAAAUAAUUUUAUUUAUUUGUUAAUUUAAAGUUAAUUCGUGUUUCUGUUUCAUUGGGGUGAUGAAAGUAUAAAAUUAACUGCUUAUAGUUAUAACAAAUAAUUUUUGAAUAUAAUGAUCCUUAUUUAUUAAGAAUAAAGAAAAAGUUACUUUAGGAAAUAACAGCGUA